AAUGGUCACCUGACCGUAACCAAACCAGAUCAGAAUUAACGUAUGGCCGACAUCUUCCGAAAGAGGAAAUAACGAAGUCGAAGAGUAAAUAAUGAGCGACAAUAAUUACGUCGUGGUUUCUGCGGACAACUGCUUCAAUACGGCUUGUGUAAACAGUAAAGUGACAAAAGUAUACAUUCUUUGCAUUGUAUUCUCUUCUUUCGGGCAUGCAGUCCAGUCCCAGCAAAAGUAACGGACUGCUGUAUGUACUGAUUGAGUUUCGGCCGUCGGCUAGCGGCUGUUCCCUGUUUCGUCGCGUCUCCGAGCUCGGUAUCACUGACCAAUUCUGCUGCUACAGUAUCAGCUACAAAAAAAGUACAAACUUUAUCACUUCGGCAUCGUUACCAAAUACCAACACAUCCUGACCGAUGACCUUAUCUGUGCAGAUCAAAUCAAACUGAAGAGGUGCAAAGUGCAGGAACCAAGUGUGAGGACUAACUGAUAACGGUUUCUAUUGGAAAACGUAUGUCAAUGGCUCUUUCAAUAGAUUUCAAAGGAUUAGACGACUCUGAUCAUGAUAACUCGAGAGAUCAUAAUAUCCUGGAAGGGAGCCCACAUGAAGGCAAAGAGGAGUUAAACAUGAGUCACGAGGAAAGACAAACUUUGCUUCAUGGAAAUGAUUCAUCUUCCAGCAAUGCCAUCUAUUCCAGUUACAGCUCAAGCAGCAGCAGGCUCAUGCCAAAACAUUUCAGCCCGGCUCGAUAUUGGAAAAACCUGAUAGUUAUAAGUCUUGCAUGCAUGUUUAUGUUCAGUGCAUACAGUGCCUUGGCAAACUUGCAGAGUAGUCUUCAUUACAGUGAAGGACUUGGUGUAGCCUCUCUAUGUGCUAUUUAUAUUGGUGUUAUCAUAUCCAGCUUGUUUGCACCUCUUGUGAUCUGGGUAUUGAAGGUGAAAUGGACUCUGGUCGUCUGUAGCGUGUUUUAUGCCAUCUUCUCAGCAAGCAAUAUCUACCCUGCUGUCUAUACCCUCAUUCCCGCAGCGGCUUUACUUGGGUUGGCUGCAUCCCCUUUCUGGACAGCUAUUGGUACCUACCUUACAACAUCGGCCAUUCAGCUUGCUGAUGUUCAGGAUGGGAUUCCGGAACCCAUCAUCAAUCGUUUCAAUGGCAUCUUCUUCUGCUUCUUCCAGUCCGCCCAGGUAUGGGGUAACCUCAUCUCCUCACUUGUGUUACAGAACACGUCUUCCUCUGAUACAAUGUCCCAAUGCGGACGUUCCAGUUGUGGAACUGGCAUCACCUUCAACAUCACCGGCAAUGUUGAGAUGGCUGGGGAGGAAACACUAGUCCUCAUCAUCAUCUAUAUCAUCCUUGGUCUCGUAGCAACGCUCAUCUACAUUUUCCUUGUAGAUAGUAUCCCAAAGGUCAAUUACAAAGGAACUAAAACAUGGAAAACUCAUCUAUCUGAUCACUUGGUUUCAACAUUCCAGUUGAUGAAGACCCCGUAUCUCUUUCUUCUGAUUCCACUCAUGAUUUAUAACGGAGCUGAGCAGGCAUUUAUAAGUGCAGAUUUCACCAAGAGUUUUGUCAGCUGUACGAAAGGAGCUGGUGAAGUCGGUUACGUCAUGAUCGGCUUCGGUGUUGCUGAUGCGUUGUCUUCGAUAAUCUUCGGCCAGCUCGAGAAGUAUUCGGGCCGGAUUGUGAUCUUCUUGUUUGGGGGUGUGGUCCAUUUGGCUCUUCUGAUUGGCUUUGAACUGUGGAACCCGGAGCACUCGGCAACAUGGCAGCUUGUUCUGUUUGCUGUGGGAUGGGGUAUCGGCGAUGCUGUCUGGCAAACACAAAUAUCAUCUCUGGUAGGUGUGAUAUUUCCGGAAUCUCAGGAGCCUGCCUUCGCAAACUUUCGACUGUGGCAAGCUGUUGGUUUCGCUGUGACCUACGCUCUGACCAUCCCGUCUGCUAUCUGCAUCUCUCACAAGAUAUACGGACUAAUGGCAUUUUUAUCAUUUUCCAUUAUUUGUUACAUCAUAGAGGAAUAUUUGAUAUCAAGACCAGCCCCUCCGUGGACAGAUUAAAGGACAAUGAAUUUUUGGAUAUAUGUAUAGUCGUGCAUAAAUUAGAUAAACAAAAUAAUAACAGAGAGGCGAAUUGAAAGAUCCAUAUGCGGUGGCGUGAGGGGCGCACGCCUCAUUAUUUGGACAAAUGCACAUUUAAUAUACAGUGUACAUAUUAAUAAAGCUAAAGCUUAUAAAAUAUGCAAACUCUAUUUCCAAAUUUGCUCUUUGCAUCCAAUCUAUUUCAAAAUCCUGGAUCCGCCACUGAAAUUGAACUCUCUUAAAGGAGGAUGAAAUCCUCAGAACCAGAUUAAUUGUUAAAAGACAAAUAUAAAUGAAACAUAUUAAUGAAAUGAUAUAUUCAACAGAACACUAAUGAAGCUGAUCACCAUAUACGAUCAGGAAAUAUAUUUGUUUGUUUCAAAGAAGAAAAGAGAUACAUAUUAUGAUUAGGUUCCAUUAAUUUAUAUAAUCUUAUUCAGUUAUUUAAGAGACCAUAACUCCAACCCGGGACUCCAACAUCCGAUUUUGAUGAAAUUUUCAGCAUUAUGCUUGUUGGAUUUUUCUUUUUUUAUUCAAAUCAACUUUUUGUUGGGAUGGACUUGUCUUCUAAUGGAACAAAAGGCCGGUUUCAACCAUAUCGAUUCUUCUGUUGUAGUAUUUAGCGUUUUCGGGAAUUUUUUCGUCUUGUGACGUAAAUAGGGAGAUUUUUGCAAUCGCGACGGGGUCGGAUUUUACAACAUAGAAAAUAUAUUGUCAAAGCCCUUCAUGACAAAGAAGUCUUUGUCGAAAUCGGUGAAUCAAAACAGCAGCUGUCCUGGUUCACCAGUUUUCGACCACGACCUCCCAGCUGUUCAUUUUGAUUUGACUUUGAUUGUCAAUACAUUUACUGUGUUCUUGAAUUCGUUCUGGGUUGUGGUGCGAUAACUCUCUGUUUACGAAUCAUUUGCGCUAUUGUACUCACUUUUUGACUAUUAAUCAGUAAAACUGUUGGUCGUUGCUAUUCAUCAAGAUUACUAAAUACUAAUGAAUAAAGAAAUAUAAUUUCUGUAA
RNA transcript from Lytechinus pictus (painted urchin), 3078 nucleotides. It is a transcript of the gene named protein unc-93 homolog A-like, with no coding region annotated. NCBI's taxonomy places the organism in Eukaryota, Metazoa, Echinodermata, Echinoidea, Temnopleuroida, Toxopneustidae. The transcript is spliced from 4 exons. The record is from RefSeq and is a predicted model, not a curated record.